RNAcentral lists this transfer RNA (73 nucleotides) under Olea europaea subsp. europaea. Its description in RNAcentral is "tRNA.Pro". The record is from RNAcentral. Lineage: Eukaryota; Viridiplantae; Streptophyta; Magnoliopsida; Lamiales; Oleaceae.
GGGUAUUUUCGUAUAGUGGUAUGACUCUCACUUAGGGUGCGAGAGGUGUUGAGUUCAAUUCUCGGAAUGGUGA